Molecule: ribosomal RNA, 470 nt
Filed under: uncultured organism
Description: partial 16S ribosomal RNA
Rfam family: Bacterial small subunit ribosomal RNA
Source: RNAcentral
ACUCCUGCGGGAGGCAGCAGUGGGGAAUUUUGGACAAUGGGCGAAAGCCUGAUCCAGCAAUGCCGCGUGCAGGAUGAAGGCCUUCGGGUUGUAAACUGCUUUUGUACGGAACGAAAAAGCUCCUUCUAAUACAGGGGGCCCAUGACGGUACCGUAAGAAUAAGCACCGGCUAACUACGUGCCAGCAGCCGCGGUAAUACGUAGGGUGCGAGCGUUAAUCGGAAUUACUGGGCGUAAAGCGUGCGCAGGCGGUUAUGUAAGACAGAUGUGAAAUCCCCGGGCUCAACCUGGGAACUGCAUUUGUGACUGCAUGGCUAGAGUACGGUAGAGGGGGAUGGAAUUCCGCGUGUAGCAGUGAAAUGCGUAGAUAUGCGGAGGAACACCGAUGGCGAAGGCAAUCCCCUGGACCUGUACUGACGCUCAUGCACGAAAGCGUGGGGAGCAAACAGGAUUAGAUACCCGGGUAGUCCC